CUUACUUAUAAAACUGCUUGGGGUUCUCUCAAGCUAAGAUUGCUCCAAGGCAACACUUUUGAUCAGGCAUGACAGUGAAGUACAUCCACUGAGGCAUAACGUUGUUUGUGUCCUGCACAAUAAAUGGCAGUUGGAUACAGGGAUGAUCUGCAGCAAAUCACUACAGGCUACCACGCAGCACCGCUGGCUGUCCCAUGGGCAUGCCAUGGCAGCCAGGACGUGCUAGUGGCCUCCCCAGGUGCUGGCUGCCAAACGGGGGUGCAAGUUUCAAAGGCAAAAAGAGCAGUGUUCCGAAAUGCUGGUUACGUUUUGUCUGUCUGUUGGACUUUCAUUUAUUUCUUAACACUUCAGCAAGAAACAGCUUUGCUUUGCUUUUCCCCGCCCAUCGCUGGCAGUCUAUUAUUGCCUGGUGUGAACAUUUUCAGUACUCUUCCCUUUUUCUUGCCAAGUACAGUAACAGGGGGAGGGGGAACAGACUCAUGCUGGUGUCAGUCUCCCUGUGCUUCUGCUUCUUUGCAGAAUGGGGAAAUGGGUUUUCUUUUUUUUUGUUGGUUUUUUUUUUGCCAUUUUUUACCACAUUGUGUUGAAUUGCCACUCUAUGCUGAGAGAGGCUCAUCGUAACAUGCCCUCUUGCCACCAAGUGUGUUGUAACAGUGCUGUGUGAAAGCCUGAAUCUGUUUCCAAGCUGGUGAGAAAAGGAAUGUACUGUCAAACCAGGAGGAGAGAAGCUCUGUGCUGGGCCAGAAAGAGAAGAAGGAAGGUUUGUUGUCCAGCUCAUUAGAAAUAAACAUUUUGCUGGUACCUCAAAUAGGAGGACUAGUCUGAUGAUGCCAUUACAAAUCAGAGAAGUAAUCAAAGGCUUUGGAAGGUAAGCACUUUUAUUCCUGAGCCCUUGUUAAUUUGCUGGUUCGAAAUUAAGGACUUUGUAUGAAAACUUACACUGGUGUGUGGAUUCAUCUCACAGAAAGUGCCAAUAAAAAUUCAGUUGAUGCUUUUUAAUGGACAGAUUUAUUUUUGGAGUAGUUAGGAGGGCAGUCUGAUGUUCUUGGUCAUGAUGUCCUCUGUCAGACUGCAUGCAGACUGAAGUGAUUUGUCCACAUUGGCUUAGUUGUACUGUAGUACUGCACUCAAACUAUCCUUUCAGCAGAAUAAAUUACAAAAGCGGCAAUUAAAAUUGUUUCACAUUUUACCUUCCUUUUCUUUACCUAAUUUCUAUGUCAGCUGAAACCAUCAAGAUCUAGAAAGUGAAGUAUCCCUG
Pezoporus occidentalis (night parrot) is the source of this 1258-nucleotide long non-coding RNA. RefSeq lists it as uncharacterized. The transcript has 3 exons. The record is from RefSeq and is a predicted model, not a curated record. Lineage: Eukaryota; Metazoa; Chordata; Aves; Psittaciformes; Psittacidae.